UAGGGAAUCUUCGGCAAUGGACGAAAGUCUGACCGAGCAACGCCGCGUGAGUGAAGAAGGUUUUCGGAUCGUAAAACUCUGUUGUUAGAGAAGAACAAGGACGUUAGUAACUGAACGUCCCCUGACGGUAUCUAACCAGAAAGCCACGGCUAACUACGUGCCAGCAGCCGCGGUAAUACGUAGGUGGCAAGCGUUGUCCGGAUUUAUCGGGCGUAAAGCGAGCGCAGGCGGUUUCUUAAGUCUGAUGUGAAAGCCCCCGGCUCAACCGGGGAGGGUCAUUGGAAACUGGGAGACUUGAGUGCAGAAGAGGAGAGUGGAAUUCCAUGUGUAGCGGUGAAAUGCGUAGAUAUAUGGAGGAACACCAGUGGCGAAGGCGGCUCUCUGGUCUGUAACUGACGCUGAGGCGCGAAAGCGUGGGGAGCAAACAGG
This 429-nucleotide ribosomal RNA is filed under the name Gemmatimonadota bacterium. RNAcentral's name for it is "Gemmatimonadetes bacterium partial 16S ribosomal RNA". It matches the Rfam family "Bacterial small subunit ribosomal RNA", at positions 355 to 776 of the family's 1533-position model. Lineage: Bacteria; Pseudomonadati; Gemmatimonadota. The record is from RNAcentral.